CGGACGGGUGAGUAACGCGUGGGUAACCUGCCUCAUACAGGGGGAUAACGGUUAGAAAUGACUGCUAAUACCGCAUAAGCGCACAGUACCGCAUGGUACAGUGUGAAAAACUCCGGUGGUAUGAGAUGGACCCGCGUCUGAUUAGCUAGUUGGUGGGGUAACGGCCCACCAAGGCGACGAUCAGUAGCCGACCUGAGAGGGUGACCGGCCACAUUGGGACUGAGACACGGCCCAA
This 235-nucleotide ribosomal RNA is filed under the name uncultured bacterium. Its description in RNAcentral is "partial 16S ribosomal RNA". It matches the Rfam family "Bacterial small subunit ribosomal RNA", at positions 99 to 334 of the family's 1533-position model. The record is from RNAcentral.